ACACAGGUUCAUCAAGAGUGUCAGGCACUUGGUGGGCAGUUCAUACUCCUCUGACAAACUACAAUUUGGUGGGAAACUUCACAAGAACCCACGGUAUCACAUCUGUAAAUUCAUGGAGUGCCCUGCACUUGACUUCUGCUGUCCUUCAUGUCCUCUACACAAAAAAUACUCAUUUAAUGAAAAGCAUGUUGCUAGUUCCUUUAGUGCAAUCCAGAGUUGCGCCUGGGUCACUUAGAACUGUAGCUUCUGCUGAUGUGAAGACUUCCUGCUCACAGAUAACAUGACAUGAGACCCUACUUGCUCCAGAGCCUGAUUGGCGUGGAUCUCCCGGCACACAGAAAGGCAAAGCUGUCUGAAAAUAGAGAAAGAGGAAGAGACUGCAAAAUCUACCAAACAAAUAUGAAGAAACUGUUUUUGAAAGUAAUUUAGGGAGAUGAAGAGCACGCUUAGAAAACAUGGGCAUGACACACAUACAGCAGUAAAUUCAGAUCCACCUAAAUGGGCUUUGAGCAGGAGUUUGGCAUUCUCAACCUGGGAUUCAGGUGUUGGCCUGAGAUUGGUGGCAUGUUACGUACACCUCUGACAAGGUUAGCAGGAUGUUCCAGGUAUGUUUAUGCUACACAGCAUUGCCAUGAUACUUGCCUGAGGGGGAAGACAUACAUGAAAUAAGGAGCCCUGAAAAGAAGAGGACAUAGGAGCUGUGAGGCUCAGGAGGACAUAAGCAUGCUGGACCAGGAAGAUGAUGAAGGAGCAAGGACACCAGCUAGUGUUCCCUGAG
Molecule: long non-coding RNA, 778 nt
Organism: Mauremys mutica (yellowpond turtle)
Lineage: Eukaryota; Metazoa; Chordata; Testudines; Geoemydidae
Exons: 4
Source: RefSeq, a predicted model, not a curated record